CCUGGACGUAGCUUACUUGUAUAACACAUCAAAUAUUUUGCCAUCGUCCACGUGAUAUUUUAUGGUCUGAAAUCUCACAUGAUUAACCAAUCAGAUUUGCGGAAAACA
Molecule: long non-coding RNA, 108 nt
Organism: Thalassophryne amazonica
Lineage: Eukaryota; Metazoa; Chordata; Actinopteri; Batrachoidiformes; Batrachoididae
Exons: 3
Source: RefSeq, a predicted model, not a curated record